GACUUUGAUCCACUUAGCAUGCCAGGACAAAAAAAUAUUAAAGCAAGAAAACAAUUAUAAAAACAAUUAAAACAAAAAAAAAAUGAAGUUAAAUCAAUUAGAGCACAUUUUCCCCAGCCGUCAGUAAUCACCAGGCUCUGUAAAUACACACGUGACCGUGUCUGACCUGUGGCUCAGGGUGGGAUUAUGGCCUGUACUGACAGCUCAAUGACAGGCCUAAACAUAUGAUUGACAGUCACAUAAUAAAGUAGAGUGGCAGAUGCGCGUCCGGAAAACUUAUUAAACUUAUUAAGUGCAACCGCAACAACUAGAAACGUGAAAACAAUGACCAUAAACCUGAACAGAGGACAAAAACUCACAGACUGUAAGAGAGACUGCGGCACACACGAACACGUCAACAACAAAAGCUUGACCACAAGACGCUGAAACGCAGGAACUCACACAGUGGUGCUAAUCAAGGUGAAACCAGACACAGGUGAGAGUGUUUGAAAGCGGUCCUCAUGCGAGAUGUCUCUAUGCUGAAAAAGGCCUUAGGCUGACAAAGUUCCUUAAGAGCGAUAUCCUUAGUGUAGCUGGCAGGAGAUGUGAAAUCCUCCACAAGGCAGUGAGGCAGAGCAAUCCCUUCUGCAUAGCUAAGGAGUGGCGCAAUGUCCAAGGCAGCGCAUGGAGCAUGUGACAUCCAUCAUGAAGCCAGAGGGGGAGCGACAUUCUCUGCAAAGCAAUAGGGGGGAGCAACAUACACCACGAAGCAGGGGGAGGAGCGAUGUCCUUAGUGAUACAAGGAAGCAGCGCGGCGUCUCCAUGGCGAGGCUGUGAGCUGUAAGGUCCUUAGUUCAGCAAGGAGGCAGAGCAAUGUCCGAACUGGGGCAGGAAGGGGGGUAGAUGGUUCUAGGUAGGUCGGGAGCUACAGUUUCCAUGAAAAGGGGCAGAAACUUCUGUCAUUUCUACCGACCUUUGAUCACCAAGAGCCAGCACAGUACAUUAUAGAAGACUACAUAUCACAUCAAUCUUCCUAUACCCGAUGUGAUCUUCUGCUCUUACAGCCCAUCCACUUCCAGAUCAAACGUGCUGUGCAUUCUGAUACGCUUCUCUGCUCACUAGUUGUAAAGAGCGGUUAUUCGAGUUACUGUAGACUUCCUGUCAGACUGAAACAGUCUCGCCAUUCUCCUCUGACCUCUCUCAUCAACAAGGCUCUUCCGCCCAACGCUGCUCGCUGAAUGUUUUUUGUUUUCUACACCAGUCUGUGUAAACUCUGGAGACUAUAGAGACAUCAGCAGUUUCUGAAAUAUUCAAACCAGUCAGUGUGACACGAUCAACCAUGCUACUGUCAAACCAUGCUCACUGAGUUCACAUUUUACCCCAGUCUGAUGUUCGAUGUGAACAUUAACUCAAGCUCUUGUUCCUGUUAAAGUAUCCGGGGAAUAUUUUCAACAUUCACAUUGUCUUGGUUUCUGUAAAAGCUUAGUUCAGUGUAAACUACAUAUAGUUUAUCGGGGAUUAAAGCAUUCGCACAGAACUUAACCUUGUAAGGUGUUAAACCAAACAAAUGUAACCAAACUGAAUUUGCAUGAUUAAAUAAUUACAUAUAAAAACACAGAAUUAUGUGUGUAGUUACAGGAAUUAGUUAAAUGUCUUAGUAUUUUAGGUAUAAGUAUUUCACAAUGUAAAGUACAAUUGCAUCAAUGUGUGUGUAUGUUGGUGUGUGCAACAGCCAUUGGUACUUUUGACCCAUUAAACCCAGCUGUACUUCUGCCACUAGUCUUUUAGUAAAGUCGGUAAAGAAAUAUUCAGUGCUUCGAGUCAUGACUGAGCUCCUAAUAUCAUUUUAAUCAAAGUAAUAUAAGUACAUGUGGCAAAUGUAAGGUACCAACUGAAGUAUACUGGUAAGCAGCAUUCAGCAUUUACAUGCAACCGGUGUUGGGGAGUAAUGAACUAAAAGUAGCGAUUCAAACGAAUAGCAGUGUAGCGCGACCUUGCGUUACUUUUUUUGUCCAAUUGUAGUGGUCCUCUUCAUCACAUAUCUGCAGAGGAUGCUUGCUUUACAGGAAUUAAGAGCCUCGUUGUAGUUCACAUGGAUAGGAAGUGACCAUCUGAUGGACAUGUAAAGCGACCAACCACAGUUCGUUACGUGAUGUAUGGGGCGGGGAAAUGAUAAUGGGGGACAAUUCCAUCAAACCCGACUGCCGUUGCAGAACAACUUCUUCUGUCGCUCCACCUGUGUCUUGCUGAGGAUGUCACUCUGCCUCCGUGUUCUGCUGAGAACAUCGCUCUGUGCUAUGGUCCUGUUACCCCACCCCCCUCGCCCUUCCCAGCUGGUGUACUUGCCCUCUCACCCACCCCGGUGGCACAGUGCUGCUCCCUUGCUCGGCUGGGGAUGUUGUUUCGCCUCCUGUCCCUGCCGGUGACGUGGCGCCGCCUCCUUGUUUUGUCGCACCGCCUACAUGGUUUGUCACGUCCCCUCCUUGUUUUGUGAUCACUCCCCCCUCUGGCCUUGCUGUGGCAGAC
Ictalurus punctatus (channel catfish) is the source of this 2505-nucleotide long non-coding RNA. Lineage: Eukaryota; Metazoa; Chordata; Actinopteri; Siluriformes; Ictaluridae. The record is from Ensembl.